GACGAACGCUGGCGGCGUGCUUAACACAUGCAAGUCGAACGGAAAGGCCCUGCUUUUGUGGGGUGCUCGAUUGGCGAACGGGUGAGUAACACGUGAGUAACCUGCCCUUGACUUUGGGAUAACUUCAGGAAACUGGGGCUAAUACCGGAUCGGAGCUCCUGCUGCAUGGUGGGGGUUGGAAAGUUUCGGCGGGUGGGGAUGGACUCGCGGCUUAUCGGCUUGUUGGUGGGGUAGUGGCUUACCAAGGCUUUGACGGGUAGCCGGCCUGAGAGGGUGAACGGCCACAUUGGGACUGAGAUAUGGCCCAGACUGCUACGGGAGGCAGCAGUGGGGAAUAUUGCACAAUGGGCGGAAGCCUGAGGCAGCAACGCCGCGUGCGGGAUGACGGCCUUCGGGUUGUAAACCGCUGUCGCCUGUGACGAAGCGUGAGUGACGGUAAUGGGUAAAGAAGCACCGGCUAACUACGUG
This 468-nucleotide ribosomal RNA is filed under the name uncultured bacterium. RNAcentral describes it as "partial 16S ribosomal RNA". It matches the Rfam family "Bacterial small subunit ribosomal RNA", at positions 28 to 507 of the family's 1533-position model. The record is from RNAcentral.